RNAcentral lists this small nuclear RNA (19 nucleotides) under Arabidopsis thaliana (thale cress). RNAcentral describes it as "snRNA_00055". The record is from RNAcentral. Lineage: Eukaryota; Viridiplantae; Streptophyta; Magnoliopsida; Brassicales; Brassicaceae.
UAGGUGAAUGGUGGAAAUC